AGCAGUAUUGAACUGAAGAGUUUGAUCAUGGCUCAGAUUGAACGCUGGCGGCAGGCCUAACACAUGCAAGUCGAGCGGAUGAAGGGAGCUUGCUCCUGGAUUCAGCGGCGGACGGGUGAGUAAUGCCUAGGAAUCUGCCUGGUAGUGGGGGAUAACGUCCGGAAACGGGCGCUAAUACCGCAUACGUCCU
This 190-nucleotide ribosomal RNA is filed under the name Pseudomonas aeruginosa. RNAcentral's name for it is "partial 16S ribosomal RNA". It matches the Rfam family "Bacterial small subunit ribosomal RNA", at positions 1 to 181 of the family's 1533-position model. Lineage: Bacteria; Pseudomonadati; Pseudomonadota; Gammaproteobacteria; Pseudomonadales; Pseudomonadaceae. The record is from RNAcentral.